GUCACAGAAACAUAUGCGGCCUUUCCUCUGGAAAGGUGAGACAGUGCUCAUGAAAAUGACUUGGCUAUCACCAACAAGGGAGGUGAUUUGUUCUACAGCCAGCUCUCCCCUCUACCGGUCCUCAGCCAGUGAAAGAAGAAUGACUUGGAAGAUGACAUCAAAUCAGGUUCAAGCCAAUUUGGCCAACAGACCAGAUUGGAAUAUCGAUUUAGCACUCAGAUAGGAAAGCCAACCUUUUGCCAGGAUGGCCAAAAUACCAUCUGUAGCGAAUGAAAUCUGACUGCUUUGCACAAACCCUUCUGGAUCCCAGUUUUUGGACAAGGUCUGUGAGGGUGAAAAUGCAUCCAGAAGCCAGACUCUCCUUAAAUCACCCUCAUUCUUGAGACAAUGAGGAAAAGGGAAGAAAAAGUCCACCUACAAAUGACAAAUGAUCAACACAGCUUGCUUGCUAAGUGAAGCUGACUAAUCUAUUACCUCUGAAAUGAUUUCAAGGUGUUACAGAAUGAGCUUGCCUAUAUUUCACAUUUGCGGGGACAUAAGGCAAUAAAUUCUAAGCAUGCUUCGUUGCCCUGUAAUAAGUUAC
Molecule: long non-coding RNA, 583 nt
Filed under: Macaca nemestrina (pig-tailed macaque)
Lineage: Eukaryota; Metazoa; Chordata; Mammalia; Primates; Cercopithecidae
Description: lncRNA (ENSMNEG00000046143.1)
Source: RNAcentral